CCUACGGGGGACAGCAGUGAGGAAUAUUGGUCAAUGGGCGCAAGCCUGAACCAGCCAAGUCGCGUGAGGGAUGACGGUCCUAUGGAUUGUAAACCUCUUUUGUCGGGGAGCAAGGCCCGCCACGUGUGGAGGGAAGGAGAGUACCCGAAGAAAAAGCAUCGGCUAACUCCGUGCCAGCAGCCGCGGUAAUACGGAGGAUGCGAGAGUUAUCCGGAUUUAUUGGGUUUAAAGGGUGCGUAGGCGGAAGGUUAAGUCAGCGGUCAAAUGUCGGUGCUCAACAACGGACUGCCGUUGAAACUGGUCUGCUUGAGUGAGCGAGAAGUAUGCGGAAUUCGUGGUGUAGCGGUGAAAUGCAUAGAUAUCACGCAGAACUCCGAUUGCGAAGGCAGCAUACCGGCGCUCAACUGACGCUGAGGCACGAAAGCGUGGGGAUCGAACAGGAUUAGAUACCCCAGUAGUC
This 460-nucleotide ribosomal RNA is filed under the name uncultured bacterium. Its description in RNAcentral is "partial 16S ribosomal RNA". It matches the Rfam family "Bacterial small subunit ribosomal RNA", at positions 338 to 795 of the family's 1533-position model. The record is from RNAcentral.